UGGGGUUGUGGCUCAGUGGUAGAGUUUGCCUAGCAUGUGUAAGGCCCUGGGUUCAAUCCUCAGCACCACAA
RNAcentral lists this transfer RNA (71 nucleotides) under Marmota monax (woodchuck). RNAcentral describes it as "tRNA.Ala". Lineage: Eukaryota; Metazoa; Chordata; Mammalia; Rodentia; Sciuridae. The record is from RNAcentral.